GGCACACAUGUACCAAGGUUGCGGCGAAUUUGCCUUGCAAGCAAGUUGUGAUGGGUUCGAUUCCCAUUGUGUCCA
Molecule: transfer RNA, 75 nt
Filed under: Bacteroidota bacterium
Lineage: Bacteria; Pseudomonadati; Bacteroidota
Also listed under: 1 other name
Description: Bacteroidetes bacterium (activated sludge metagenome) tRNA-OTHER
Rfam family: tRNA
About the family: Transfer RNA (tRNA) molecules are approximately 80 nucleotides in length. Their secondary structure includes four short double-helical elements and three loops (D, anti-codon, and T loops). Further hydrogen bonds mediate the characteristic L-shaped molecular structure. tRNAs have two regions of fundamental functional importance: the anti-codon, which is responsible for specific mRNA codon recognition, and the 3' end, to which the tRNAs corresponding amino acid is attached (by aminoacyl-tRNA synthetases). tRNAs cope with the degeneracy of the genetic code in two manners: having more than one tRNA (with a specific anti-codon) for a particular amino acid; and 'wobble' base-pairing, i.e. permitting non-standard base-pairing at the 3rd anti-codon position.
Source: RNAcentral